Molecule: non-coding RNA, 172 nt
Organism: Podarcis lilfordi (Lilford's wall lizard)
Lineage: Eukaryota; Metazoa; Chordata; Lepidosauria; Squamata; Lacertidae
Source: the annotation of a GenBank genome assembly
CUGAGUCACUGUUGCUUCCUGGGAGGGAGAGGGGCAAGAUGGUGAGGGGGUUGGCGCAUUGCAAAAGUACCAGCAGGAGUGCCAGAUUGGCUCUGCUGGUGCAUUUGCACUGCGCCAGCUUCCCUGCCGUCUACCCCUCCCCAUCUCCUUCCUGGUAAGCAACAGAGACUCA